This 76-nucleotide transfer RNA is filed under the name Gammaproteobacteria bacterium. RNAcentral's name for it is "tRNA-Pro". It matches the Rfam family "tRNA". Rfam says of the family: Transfer RNA (tRNA) molecules are approximately 80 nucleotides in length. Their secondary structure includes four short double-helical elements and three loops (D, anti-codon, and T loops). Further hydrogen bonds mediate the characteristic L-shaped molecular structure. tRNAs have two regions of fundamental functional importance: the anti-codon, which is responsible for specific mRNA codon recognition, and the 3' end, to which the tRNAs corresponding amino acid is attached (by aminoacyl-tRNA synthetases). tRNAs cope with the degeneracy of the genetic code in two manners: having more than one tRNA (with a specific anti-codon) for a particular amino acid; and 'wobble' base-pairing, i.e. permitting non-standard base-pairing at the 3rd anti-codon position. RNAcentral also lists the same sequence under 3 other names. The record is from RNAcentral. Lineage: Bacteria; Pseudomonadati; Pseudomonadota; Gammaproteobacteria.
CGGAGCGUGGCGCAGCCUGGUAGCGCGCUUGCAUGGGGCGCAAGAGGUUUCGCGGGUUCGAAUCCCGCCGCUCCGA